This 30-nucleotide non-coding RNA is filed under the name Mus musculus (house mouse). Lineage: Eukaryota; Metazoa; Chordata; Mammalia; Rodentia; Muridae. The record is from RNAcentral.
UUAAAUUUUAGCAAAACUCUGUUUAGGAUU